Camellia sinensis is the source of this 705-nucleotide non-coding RNA. NCBI's taxonomy places the organism in Eukaryota, Viridiplantae, Streptophyta, Magnoliopsida, Ericales, Theaceae. The record is from RefSeq and is a predicted model, not a curated record.
AAGUUGAAUUAUGUUGAAAAUUUAUAAAAUUUUAAACCGCCAAACCGAUUCGCAUCCAUCCGCCAAACCGCUAAUCCGCUCAAUCCAGAUUCGCCGGAUUGGUGGACAGAUGAGGAUUUAUUUUCUCCAAUUUGCCAAUCUAGAGGACGGAUGGCGGAUUUCAGGUUCCGUGGCCGCAACCGACCCGCACCCACCUCUAAUGAGUGGAGGCAUUACAAUUCUUCAAGGCCAAGAGACAACAAAGAAGAUCAUUUCCUUAAGGAUGCAAAACAGAUUAUAACAUAUAUUGAGAACAAGUUGAGCAACAAAAGGAAGAGAAGUACAAGAAAGUUUGCAAACUUGGUUUUGGUGAAAGAUAGUCCACAACAACACUCAACAUCAUAAUGUUGAUUGCGAAAUUAUUAUUUGUUCUAUCAUGCGUCAAAUCAUAAGAGAUGAGCCUAUUGCAAAGUCUAUGGAAGAGGAUGAAAUUAACAAUUUUUGAGCAUCAACAGUACAUCAAUUUUUAAAUGAUUAUCCAAAAGCAUGGAGGAACAAUUCAACCUCAAAAGAAAAAUACCCAAUAGAUAAGACCUCGAGGACGAUGAUGUAGACAACUUUUGGGAACUACUUUUUUGUAUCUAUGAAUGAUGUAUGUAAUUUUGCUUUUUUCAAAUGAAAGAAUUUUGAAAUAGUAAUUGUAAGUGAAAGAAUGCUAAAAGAGUA